UCAUAUGACUUAAAACCAACUUUAAAUGUGGAUUGUUUUUUUUGUUAUUUUUUUGUUUAUAAUUAUUUCAUAAUUAUCAUCAAGUAAAAGUUGGAAUUAACAACAAAACUAAAAUUUAUGAAUAAACUCACAUUUAGUAAUCAAACCUACUUCGCUCAAUAUUUAUCAUACGUUUUCUAGUGUGUUAAUAUUGCCUACGAAAAUAUGUUGUUUCGACUUUCAUGGCUGGUCUUAUGAUAUUUGUUUAUGCAAAGGAAUCUGGAAUGUUCGAGUUCAAAUUUCUCUUUCCAUAAGUUAAGUGAAUUUAGAGCAUAUCCAAAUAUGUUAUUUCAACUUGCAUGAUUGGUCUUACAAUUCUUGUACGACAUAAUAAAACGUGCACACGUACAAUUGCGAAAAUCGAACUUGUAAUGCGCACGAGCACAUGAACAAAAACAGUAACAUUUUGCGUAAAAUGUAUAUACGUGACUGAGUUAAAAAAUCUAGGCUAGAGCUAGGCUUUUGACUAACGAGAAUUAACUUUUCAUUUUUAUAAUUGAGUAGACAACUAUCAGAAAUCAAACCAUUUUGGUAUCCGAAUAAGUUGGGUGCAUACUUUGAAAAAAUUUAUAUCAGAAAUUCCUAGUUAUCAGAAUUGCAAAAUGCCAUUCUGACUUUCAUUUUAACUUUUGAAAAAACAUUCAGAUUCAAAAUAUUUGUGUACAUAUUCAAAAAAUUUAUUGUCGAAAAUUAGAAAUCCAUUCCGA
This 746-nucleotide long non-coding RNA is filed under the name Malus domestica (apple). RNAcentral's name for it is "long non-coding RNA (MDOM_LNC018958)". The record is from RNAcentral. Lineage: Eukaryota; Viridiplantae; Streptophyta; Magnoliopsida; Rosales; Rosaceae.